RNAcentral lists this ribosomal RNA (750 nucleotides) under Lactiplantibacillus plantarum. RNAcentral describes it as "bacterial SSU rRNA". It matches the Rfam family "Bacterial small subunit ribosomal RNA", at positions 61 to 773 of the family's 1533-position model. The record is from RNAcentral. Lineage: Bacteria; Bacillati; Bacillota; Bacilli; Lactobacillales; Lactobacillaceae.
GUCGAACGAACUCUGGUAUUGUAUUGGUGCUUGCAUCAUGAUUUACAUUGUGAGUGAGUGGCGAACUGGUGAGUAACACGUGGGAAACCUGCCCAGAAGCGGGGGAUAACACCUGGAAACAGAUGCUAAUACCGCAUAACAACUUGGACCGCAUGGUCCGAGCUUGAAAGAUGGCUUCGGCUAUCACUUUUGGAUGGUCCCGCGGCGUAUUAGCUAGAUGGUGGGGUAACGGCUCACCAUGGCAAUGAUACGUAGCCGACCUGAGAGGGUAAUCGGCCACAUUGGGACUGAGACACGGCCCAAACUCCUACGGGAGGCAGCAGUAGGGAAUCUUCCACAAUGGACGAAAGUCUGAUGGAGCAACGCCGCGUGAGUGAAGAAGGGUUUCGGCUCGUAAAACUCUGUUGUUAAAGAAGAACAUAUCUGAGAGUAACUGUUCAGGUAUUGACGGUAUUUAACCAGAAAGCCACGGCUAACUACGUGCCAGCAGCCGCGGUAAUACGUAGGUGGCAAGCGUUGUCCGGAUUUAUUGGGCGUAAAGCGAGCGCAGGCGGUUUUUUAAGUCUGAUGUGAAAGCCUUCGGCUCAACCGAAGAAGUGCAUCGGAAACUGGGAGACUUGAGUGCAGAAGAGGACAGUGGAACUCCAUGUGUAGCGGUGAAAUGCGUAGAUAUAUGGAAAGAACACCAGUGGCGAAGGCGGCUGUCUGGUCUGUAACUGACGCUGAGGCUCGAAAGUAUGGGUAGCAAAC